RNAcentral lists this ribosomal RNA (907 nucleotides) under Ophiocordyceps sobolifera. RNAcentral's name for it is "SSU rRNA". It matches the Rfam family "Eukaryotic small subunit ribosomal RNA", at positions 61 to 647 of the family's 1831-position model. Lineage: Eukaryota; Fungi; Ascomycota; Sordariomycetes; Hypocreales; Ophiocordycipitaceae. The record is from RNAcentral.
AAGAUAGCAUUAUACGGCGGACUGCGAAUGGCUCAUUAUAUAAGUUAUCGUUUAUUUGAUAGCACCUUACUACUUGGAUAACCGUGGUAAUUCUAGAGCUAAUACAUGCUGAAAAUCCCGACUUCGGAAGGGAUGUAUUUAUUAGAUUAAAAACCAAUGCCCUCUGGGCUCCCUGGUGAUUCAUGAUAACUGCUCGAAUCGCAUGGCCUUGCGCCGGCGAUGGCUCAUUCAAAUUUCUUCCCUAUCAACUUUCGAUGUUUGGGUAGUGGCCAAACAUGGUGGCAACGGGUAACGGAGGGUUAGGGCUCGGCCCCGGAGAAGGAGCCUGAGAAACGGCUACUACAUCCAAGGAAGGCAGCAGGCGCGCAAAUUACCCAAUCCCGACACGGGGAGGUAGUGACAAUAAAUACUGAUACAGGGCUCUUUUGGGUCUUGUAAUUGGAAUGAGUACAAUUUAAAUCCCUUAACGAGGAACAAUUGGAGGGCAAGUCUGGUGAACGUUGCUGGCGCCAGAGAGAGCCGCCCCUCCGUAAACGAAGCGGCUAGUCGAGUGCUCGUGGCAGUAACGGGUGAGCACCGGCGAGACAACCUGGGUCGGGGGAGGCUAAGGGCCCCGGGCCUAUGCUAAUCCCGAGCAGAGCCGAUUUCCUACGGCCUGUGUAGAGCGCGCUAAGGUGUCGGUCCCGGGGCUCCCGCCAGCGGGAGUCCCCCGGGGCUUGAGGUACGUGCCAAUCCCCUGCGAAAGCAGGGCCCUGCGGAUUAGCACCCGUUAUGCGAAGCCGCAGGGGGCCUCCGAGCGAGGCAGUGAUCAUAUUGCUGUAAAUGGCCAGCAGCCGCGGUAAUUCCAGCUCCAAUAGCGUAUAUUAAAGUUGUUGUGGUUAAAAAGCUCGUAGUUGAACCUUGGGCC